Triticum aestivum (bread wheat) is the source of this 971-nucleotide long non-coding RNA. RefSeq lists it as uncharacterized. The transcript has 2 exons. NCBI's taxonomy places the organism in Eukaryota, Viridiplantae, Streptophyta, Magnoliopsida, Poales, Poaceae. The record is from RefSeq and is a predicted model, not a curated record.
CAAUCCAUCGUCGUACGGUGGUGACUACAAGUGCACCCGCAGCUGGCUACUGUUGCGUCUUUCAGCAGGAAGAGCCUCAUCCCUCGCGACACAGGAUACGUGGCAGCCAAGAAGCAUCUUCCAUCGCAGAUGACAAGUGGGAGCGACUAGUAUAGAAUCUGAGCUUACAGUGCAAAAAUAGAAAAAAGUGACAUGGGCCGUCGGAUUAGAAAUCGAUGGCACAUAUUCUGGAGUGUGGGAUCUGUACUCACGGUCACAAAAGUUUGUGUAGAAAGGUCCCCCGAUUCUGAAUAAUUAUGUGCAAACGACUGAACCCUCUCGCACAUCUCCGUUCUCUUUGCCGGCUGUGGCGGCGAUCCAGAUCCGGCGGGAGGCCGCCGCCGUGCGUGGCCCCUCCCCUAACUACUCCGCCACCCAGGCCGUCUGGAUCCAUCUCCGGGCACCCCGACGUCGCGCUCCACAUCAUCAUCUCGGCCACAUCCAGCUCUGCCACGGUCUGCUCCACAGGAGCACCACCCGACCUUCACCGUGCUGGACUAUAUGACGGGUUGGUGAUUGGUCGGAAGUCCCACAUCACGGACGUGUUCGCGAUGACGCAGAUCGACGGCCGCAUGUGCCAGGUCCUCGAUCACCAUGAUGGAUGAUGCUUUAACAACCAGAAGCAUCAGGAGUACAUAUGGAGAGAAGAAGCGCUUAGCAUAGGCUUCCCUUGCUUACAAUUGCAGGAGCAAAACUCAUUUGUCUGCAUGAUAAUUUAAAUCCUUUGUUGUCGGUCAUGUGCUAUAAAUGGUCCUGUCAUGUUAAUCAGGCCAUGUAUAUGGAUCAGAGUGGACCAGAAAUAGAAUACCUUGUGAAAUUCAUUUUCGCCAUCCUAUUGAGAUGUGGGUGUUUAUUACUAGAGAAGCUUAAUGUUGACUUUAAUUUAGUGUUGCAUAAUAGUUAUAAAUGAAUUUAGUAGUUUUCUUGUUUAA